UAGGGAAUCUUCGGCAAUGGACGAAAGUCUGACCGAGCAACGCCGCGUGAGUGAAGAAGGUUUUCGGAUCGUAAAACUCUGUUGUUAGAGAAGAACAAGGACGUUAGUAACUGAACGUCCCCUGGCGGUACCUAACCAGAAAGCCACGGCUAACUACGUGCCAGCAGCCGCGGUAAUACGUAGGUGGCAAGCGUUGUCCGGAUUUAUUGGGCGUAAAGCGAGCGCAGGCGGUUUCUUAAGUCUGAUGUGAAAGCCCCCGGCUCAACCGGGGAGGGUCAUUGGAAACUGGGAGACUUGAGUGCAGAAGAGGAGAGUGGAAUUCCAUGUGUAGCGGUGAAAUGCGUAGAUAUAUGGAGGAACACCAGUGGCGAAGGCGGCUCUCUGGUCUGUAACUGACGCUGAGGCUCGAAAGCGUGGGGAGCAAACAGG
Molecule: ribosomal RNA, 429 nt
Filed under: Gemmatimonadota bacterium
Lineage: Bacteria; Pseudomonadati; Gemmatimonadota
Description: Gemmatimonadetes bacterium partial 16S ribosomal RNA
Rfam family: Bacterial small subunit ribosomal RNA
Source: RNAcentral